GUGAAACUUGGGACGGGUGCGUGAACUCAGAGGACUUCCAGGAUGACCCCCGGUUUCUAGCUUAAGUGACUGACAGAGACACGGUUCACUGAGGUGGGCUGGAGGGUGAGGGGGCUUGUGGGGGAAAGGCAACAGCUCUACUUGCAGCCACAUCAGGUCGGGACGCCAUGAGAUGUCCAGGUGGAGAUGUCACCGGGCCUGUUUUCAUCCCUCAACAAAUAUUCACAUCCAGAAAGCGGCACCCCGAGAGUCCCAAAUCCUAAAUCAUAGUCCAGAUGUCAGAGCUGGAAGAGACUUUAGACCCAUCUGGAGCCCACGGUCCUCGCACACCAUGAGUGGAGGAGCCAGCUGGGGUGUUGGAGAACCACGGCGCCUCCUCCCUGAGUCUGACUGCAGCCCAGGUCUGACCGCUUUCUACACGCAUCCUGCUGACUCUGAUCCAGGAAGUCCCAGAGUCCCACUUAGGACACCCUGCUCUAGUCUCACAGCCCCGCUUGACAGACGGACACUGUGGCCCCAAAAGACUCCAGGACUGGGUGACUGGACCAGCAGAAUUCCACAUCCUGCCCACGGGUUAGAACUUUUCUAGCAGCUCCUGCCAUCUCUCCAUUUCCACUAACGAGCUGGGCGUCUCCUAUGGGUUUGAGACCAGCAGCCAUGGCCCCGCAGCCCUUCCCCACUUUCUCCUGCUGGCCCUGAGCCCAGGGGGCAGAUGACUUCCUGGGUCCUUCAUGAUGGCACUGCAGGCCCCUGCCCUGAGCCUGAGUGUAACCACACUCUUCACAUCCCAGCCCUGCCCAGAUCCAGAACCCCCUCCUCCAAGGAGUCUCCCUUGACCACUCUGCCCACCUGUGUGCACAGGUCCUCCCCCAAC
RNAcentral lists this long non-coding RNA (874 nucleotides) under Equus asinus (donkey). Its description in RNAcentral is "lncRNA (ENSEASG00005026302.1)". Lineage: Eukaryota; Metazoa; Chordata; Mammalia; Perissodactyla; Equidae. The record is from RNAcentral.